Molecule: ribosomal RNA, 1308 nt
Filed under: Vibrio cholerae
Lineage: Bacteria; Pseudomonadati; Pseudomonadota; Gammaproteobacteria; Vibrionales; Vibrionaceae
Description: partial 23S ribosomal RNA
Rfam family: Bacterial large subunit ribosomal RNA
Source: RNAcentral
AACUGAAACAUCUAAGUACCCCGAGGAGAAGAAAUCAACCGAGAUUCCGGUAGUAGCGGCGAGCGAACCUGGAUUAGCCCUUAAGCACUCGGUGAAGUAGGUGAACAAGCUGGAAAGCUUGGCGAUACAGGGUGAUAGCCCCGUAACCGACGCUUCAUCGAGCGUGAAAUCGAGUAGGGCGGGACACGUGAUAUCCUGUCUGAAUAUGGGGGGACCAUCCUCCAAGGCUAAAUACUCCUGACUGACCGAUAGUGAACCAGUACCGUGAGGGAAAGGCGAAAAGAACCCCUGUGAGGGGAGUGAAAUAGAACCUGAAACCGUGUACGUACAAGCAGUAGGAGCACCUUCGUGGUGUGACUGCGUACCUUUUGUAUAAUGGGUCAGCGACUUAUAUUCAGUGGCAAGGUUAACCGUAUAGGGGAGCCGUAGCGAAAGCGAGUCUUAACUGGGCGCUCAGUCUCUGGAUAUAGACCCGAAACCGGGUGAUCUAGCCAUGGGCAGGUUGAAGGUUGAGUAACAUCAACUGGAGGACCGAACCGACUAAUGUUGAAAAAUUAGCGGAUGACUUGUGGCUAGGGGUGAAAGGCCAAUCAAACUCGGAGAUAGCUGGUUCUCCCCGAAAGCUAUUUAGGUAGCGCCUCGGACGAAUACUACUGGGGGUAGAGCACUGUUAAGGCUAGGGGGUCAUCCCGACUUACCAACCCUUUGCAAACUCCGAAUACCAGUAAGUACUAUCCGGGAGACACACGGCGGGUGCUAACGUCCGUCGUGGAGAGGGAAACAACCCAGACCGCCAGCUAAGGUCCCAAAGUAUUGCUAAGUGGGAAACGAUGUGGGAAGGCUCAGACAGCUAGGAUGUUGGCUUAGAAGCAGCCAUCAUUUAAAGAAAGCGUAAUAGCUCACUAGUCGAGUCGGCCUGCGCGGAAGAUGUAACGGGGCUAAGCAAUACACCGAAGCUGCGGCAAUAUCUUUUAGAUAUUGGGUAGGGGAGCGUUCUGUAAGCCGUUGAAGGUGGAUCGUAAGGUUUGCUGGAGGUAUCAGAAGUGCGAAUGCUGACAUGAGUAACGACAAAGGGGGUGAAAAACCUCCUCGCCGGAAGACCAAGGGUUCCUGUCCAACGUUAAUCGGGGCAGGGUGAGUCGACCCCUAAGGUGAGGCCGAAAGGCGUAAUCGAUGGGAAACGGGUUAAUAUUCCCGUACUUCUGACUAUUGCGAUGGGGGGACGGAGAAGGCUAGGUGGGCCAGGCGACGGUUGUCCUGGUUCAAGUGCGUAGGCUUGAGAGUUAGGUAAAUCCGGCUCUCUCUAAG